Long non-coding RNA from Myotis brandtii (Brandt's bat), 150 nucleotides. RefSeq lists it as uncharacterized. The transcript is spliced from 3 exons. The record is from RefSeq and is a predicted model, not a curated record. Lineage: Eukaryota; Metazoa; Chordata; Mammalia; Chiroptera; Vespertilionidae.
GGGCAGCAGCAUCGGUGGCCGCCUCUCCGCCCACAACGAAGAUGGCGGAGACGCUGGUCGUGACGUCACCGGCGUCACACUCUCUCCUGUCCGCCCGGCACGGAGGGGACGCGGAGGACUGAAUGGGAGAAAGUCCAGGUAAAGCUCACU